This 216-nucleotide long non-coding RNA is filed under the name Mytilus galloprovincialis (Mediterranean mussel). The record is from RNAcentral. Lineage: Eukaryota; Metazoa; Mollusca; Bivalvia; Mytilida; Mytilidae.
UUUUUGGGUAAUAAACAAGUAUGAAAAUAAAGUUUUUGUGUACGGUGUACAACAACUUAACUAUGCACCGUACAUAAGGAUUUAUGUGGUCAGCUAAACACCGUACACAACGCUUCUUAAGGGAUAAAAUAUCGAAAAAUAACAUAUAUAUGAAAGAUUUCAAUGCCAAUUAUUGAAACAGAUAUACUUAUUACACACACACAUUGACCUUCUAUC